AUCUGGUGAUAAGGCCAAGCCUCCAGAAACUUCUUAAAUCUCUCCCAGUAUUCAUAUAAAGUCUCCCUAUCUCGCUGAACAAUGCAAGAGAUCUUUCUUCGCAGCUU
Molecule: small nucleolar RNA, 107 nt
Organism: Arachis duranensis
Lineage: Eukaryota; Viridiplantae; Streptophyta; Magnoliopsida; Fabales; Fabaceae
Source: RefSeq, a predicted model, not a curated record